This 301-nucleotide ribosomal RNA is filed under the name uncultured bacterium. RNAcentral describes it as "partial 16S ribosomal RNA". It matches the Rfam family "Bacterial small subunit ribosomal RNA", at positions 509 to 808 of the family's 1533-position model. The record is from RNAcentral.
CAGCCGCCGCGGGAAUACGUAGGUCCCGAGCGUUGUCCGGAUUUAUUGGGCGUAAAGCGAGCGCAGGCGGUUAGAUAAGUCUGAAGUUAAAGGCUGUGGCUUAACCAUAGUACGCUUUGGAAACUGUUUAACUUGAGUGCAAGAGGGGAGAGUGGAAUUCCAUGUGUAGCGGUGAAAUGCGCAGAUAUAUGGAGGAACACCGGUGGCGAAAGCGGCUCUCUGGCUUGUAACUGACGCUGAGGCUCGAAAGCGUGGGGAGCAAACAGGAUUAGAUACCCCUGUAGUCCCUGUCUCUUAUACA